Athene cunicularia (burrowing owl) is the source of this 449-nucleotide long non-coding RNA. RefSeq lists it as uncharacterized. NCBI's taxonomy places the organism in Eukaryota, Metazoa, Chordata, Aves, Strigiformes, Strigidae. The record is from RefSeq and is a predicted model, not a curated record. The transcript has 4 exons.
UAGGACACCUGGAAAUGGCCUUUUUUCCUCAGAACUGGUGGGCUACCUACUAGCUAUUGGGUAAAAGGAUGAGAGAACCUGCCACCUCUUCCUCGAGGGAAAGGUGCUGCAUACUGUAAUACAUAUGUGGACAAGACUCUUGCUGAUGCAGCUGGACGAAUGCAAAGGAGAAGUCUGGAGUGUGGAUCCGGGAAAGAGCCUGGUGGGACCUCUUGCUUUGGAAGGUGCUGUAGCAGUGGAAGCCAGCAGGUUUCAAAUGCCAAAGACACAACUGGGAGAGUCACUUCAGGACAGGUUAACACUAGCACUUCCCAUUAUCCUUCUGUGUGGCUGCUGUGAUUCCCAGCACCUAUUUUCCCCUCCUUACAGUCAUGCAUCUCUGAAUUCACUGGAUUCAUGCAAGAUGGAGUCUACUUUUCUAUUUUUACUUCUCUGUUUCCAUCUCAAUU